RNAcentral lists this ribosomal RNA (546 nucleotides) under Pediococcus pentosaceus. RNAcentral describes it as "bacterial SSU rRNA". It matches the Rfam family "Bacterial small subunit ribosomal RNA", at positions 61 to 562 of the family's 1533-position model. The record is from RNAcentral. Lineage: Bacteria; Bacillati; Bacillota; Bacilli; Lactobacillales; Lactobacillaceae.
GUCGAACGAACUUCCGUUAAUUGAUUAUGACGUACUUGUACUGAUUGAGAUUUUAACACGAAGUGAGUGGCGAACGGGUGAGUAACACGUGGGUAACCUGCCCAGAAGUAGGGGAUAACACCUGGAAACAGAUGCUAAUACCGUAUAACAGAGAAAACCGCAUGGUUUUCUUUUAAAAGAUGGCUCUGCUAUCACUUCUGGAUGGACCCGCGGCGUAUUAGCUAGUUGGUGAGGUAAAGGCUCACCAAGGCAGUGAUACGUAGCCGACCUGAGAGGGUAAUCGGCCACAUUGGGACUGAGACACGGCCCAGACUCCUACGGGAGGCAGCAGUAGGGAAUCUUCCACAAUGGACGCAAGUCUGAUGGAGCAACGCCGCGUGAGUGAAGAAGGGUUUCGGCUCGUAAAGCUCUGUUGUUAAAGAAGAACGUGGGUAAGAGUAACUGUUUACCCAGUGACGGUAUUUAACCAGAAAGCCACGGCUAACUACGUGCCAGCAGCCGCGGUAAUACGUAGGUGGCAAGCGUUAUCCGGAUUUAUUGGGCGUA